AACAACUACAAUUUCGCAUUAAUCUCCAUGCAUAGCACCCAGCGAGUUCUUUUCACGCAGCCCCUUUUCAUGAGUUAGCUGCCUGCGUAACGCCUAGUUAUGUGUUUCGGAAUUACUGUAAGAACAACGCCAGUAUAAGAUGUUGUGACACUUCUUUUGAAAGGGCUUCUAGCAGAAGGGAGAAAGCAAAAGGGCUACGCUUAAUCAAUGUAAAUGUCAGUGGCUUAUUUUAAUAAAUUCUUGAUUUAACGUGGCCUGUUUGCAGUUGCACGUUUUGUAAGGAAUUUGCCAUUCCCUUCCGAAGGUAGGUGACAUUUAAAAGAUCUGUAAAGGAGAUUGGCUUGACAGCUUCAAAUUACAUUUGAAAGAGUUUUUCUUUUUCUAAACAGAAAAUGAAUACUUCCUUUUCUAAAUGUCAUCGCAAAGGCACAAACAUAUUUAAUCAAAUUUAUAUAUUUAAUUUAUGUAAAGUUAGAUUUUUCCCCUUAUUCACGAGAGAGAGAGAGAGAGAGACCUGCUACAUUUUUGCCAUUUCAAAGGUUUAGCAAAGGUAGCAUUUAAAACUCUUGAGCUUUCUGAAUAAAUGAAUCCAUUGUUUGUAAGGAGUUCUGGAAUUCUUCAAAAAUUGGCAUCAGUUUAUUACUUGAGCCCUUUCUUGAUCUAGAUAUUUAGUUAACCUCUUGCUGUUAGAAGUACCUAAAUAUUUUUUAAUAGAGAAGUAUGUGUGACAAAUGGUUGGGUAGCUCUGGUAAAAAUAAUAAAUAACUAGAAAAUAUUGCAACACAACAGAAAAAAGUAUAAAUACAAAUUUAUUAUAGGGAAGUUUAUCCCAUCAUUCAAACAAAUUCCCAAGGUGAUUAGCAAAUAAUAAUUAGCAUCUGCAGUGAUGUUAAAACAUUUUCUAUCAUAUCAUUCAAGCCAGCAAUUGCUCCACAUACUGCUUUUACCAGGCCGGUAUUCUAUUUAGCAAGAUUUAUAUACCGCUCAAUCAGUUUGCUGCAAUCAGUUAAGCCUGUGCAUUCUUGCUGCCUUGGGCCCAAUUAUCCACAUGAGUAACACCUGAGCAUGUGUCUACAGCAAAGGUCCCAGUGAGACAAGAUAGUGCCUCUUUCUUUGUGCAGUUCUUUGGGAUGACACAGUCUGGAAGAACCUGCCUUUCAUUUACAGCACAUCUUAUCUUCCUUGCAUGUUCUUUUAUACUUUGGGUGACUGCGUUUAUCCAGGACAAAGGCAAGUCACUGAGAAGACAUUUCCACAAUGUCUUUGCAGAUGGAAUGUUGGAAAGUGUCCAAGUAAUUGCCAUAGAAUGUGUGUGGUCUUAACAUUUUAGCAAGUGCCUGCUCUGUCAUUUAUUGUGACACCGUAGGAAGCUGAAAAGUUGUACUGUGUUUGGUCAUAUGUUUACUCUGAAAGUGAUACUGACUCUGACUUAUUGCCCAUGUGGAUAUUGCCAGUGCAGUAUAAAAGGUUUGAUUUUCAGGUUUCUUCAGUAUCCGUGUCAUGAUUUAACCUCACCAUAGCAAGACUUGAAAGCUGACAUCUGUCUUUGGGUAUUUCAAAAUAGUGUUUUUCUUGCUGUUUGUUGGUGUAGUGAACAAAUGCAAGCGUUCCUUUCCUGCGGUUCAAAUAAGACUCCCAUAGAUGAUUUAUAUACCACUUUACAUUUCCAGUAAAAUAAAAAUAGCUCUAAGUGGUAUACAGCAUAAUUUUAUAACAUCUAAAUUAUCAUUGCAAAAUAUCAGAAUAAAAAAUUACAAAUGUAAAUCAAAUGCAGGAUGCAAGAGCCAUAUUUAAAGCAGUAUAUUCAACAGCAAAGCAAAAUAUCCUCUUAAACCUCAAGAAACACUACAAGUAAAAAUCAAGCAUAAAAACUCGAUAGAAUUUCACAUACUAAUGCAACAGUAGUGGCUAAACAAAAUGUAUUAUGAGCAAAUCUCUAAAUAAACAAAUGAAAAAAGCAAAACAGGGGAGCACCUUCUUCACAUAAAUGGUUAUCUCCACAACUUCUCUGCCAGAAAUUACUGCUUCAAAAAUUACCUUCACCAGUUUAUUUUUAUUUCUUUGCAAUAUUUAUAAACUUCUUUUUAGCACUUUGUGAUCCCAAAGUGAUGUUUCAGCAUGAUGAAAUAGUAACGGUUUCCACAAGAUUGCUGAACUCCUUGAAGCUGUGAAAAUGCGAUAGAAUCUUUUCAAAAAGUUUGAUUGAAUAUGUGUUCUGGAGUUGGUGUUUCUCCCCAGUAGUUGUGUGAUCCAUUCUUUAUGUUGAUGGGGUUUUUUUUGUUAAACAGAAUUUGUAUACUGCAUCAUCAUGAAAACCUCUAAGCAAUUUACACAAUUUCCUCUUUCAACUGUUCUAGCCCUUUGUUCCAUUCAACACUUUUUUGCCACUUAUCACUGCCACCUGUUUAUUCUGCUAUUCUUUUCUGCAUCUGUGGUUCUGAUUUGAGCUUGUUCUUCACAUGCAUAUAGCUACUUUGAGCUUUUGUACGUUAACAAUCCCCAACACAUUCUCUGACGGGUUUAUUAAACUAAGCUAAUUCAUGACAUCUUGCCAAAAUAGAGACAACUAGAUAAAGAAUAAAGACUGAUAAUUUGUCUGUGACACCAUUCCUCCCCCCAACCUUUCUAAAUCAUGAGUUUUUCACAAACCUUACUGGCUGUAUAGCAUGUGUUGUGACAGGACUGGCACCAAUACCUGUAACUUCUUGUCUCAUAUGCUGUACUUACAGGAGACAAAAGAGCCUAAACAAGGGCAAAAACAUCUGAUAUUUUAUCAGCAGUUUUGAUAGUUUUGGUGCUCAACAGUCUCUCUAAGCUGCUGUCCCAAACUGUAGCCACGAUUCUUAAUGGACUUUUAAAUGGUUCCAUUUGAGAUGAGAUUCCUUUGUGGGAGAAUUUGAUUGUGUGCAUGUAUAGUUAAAAGCGACACUAAUCCAUAUUUUAAUGGAACAGUGGGAAGUGGCUGCAGCUCAGCAGAAGUAGAUUGUUUGAAAAUACUAGUUGAUAGAGAAUUCACUUCACAAUAGUCCAACAUUGGUAAAAUAAUUGAGGAGAGCACAUAUUGUGAGGUGUCUCAGCAUAGGAACAGAGAUCUCCCUAAGGUGUGCACUUCAAGAGAUUCUGACUGGAAAUGGCAACUGGUGUUUGAUAUUCUGAAUCUGCAUUUUCUUUUUCCUGUAGAAAAAUGCCAAAAGUGUUUGCAGCCCUUUCUGACCUAUAACUGCUGUCUGUCUUUUUUUUUCUUUUUCUUUUUUACUAUUUUGUAAUUUUUAAUAAGAGUGGUAUACAAAUCUUAAUUAUUGAACUAUUUUUCCAUUUGCUGGCAUUUUAAGGAAUAGUGUACUUUAAUAACAUAAAACAAAAAAGUAACUGCGCUAUUGCCACAAACCACAUUCAAUGAUUUUAUAUUGCAGAUACUUGUGAGCUAACUCAGUCAUGUUCUCUUUUGGCUCCAUGGUAACAGUGGAGCACAUGGCUGAAAGUAUACUGUACAAGUUAAUGUGUAUUCUGGGACAUGUGGAACACAGUGUGAGAGCCAAGAUGCAGCCAAAAAGAGCCCUGAAGACUGCUCUUUUCUUUGGCAAAGUUCUUGUGGAAGCUAAUUAUUAUUUGAUUAUCUUUCACAGUGCUGCAUUGCUCCCUCAUACUAUUGACCAUCUUUAGAGAAGGCGUUGAAAAUCUCACCCGCCUCAGUUUUUCCACAAUAUAAAGUGAAAAGCUGCAAACCAAGACCACAGUGAGGAAGAGGCAGUAAUCUAUUUCUUAAAAAAAAGAGUGCCAUGGAGAUACCACUUUUUGAUUUCAAAAUCUUAUCUCUAAUCCUAUGAACACAAUAAAAGCCCUUUUAGAUCAGACCAAAGGCAUUUCUAGACAAGCAUCCUACUUACCACAGGGGCCAACCAGAUGCCUUAUGGGAAACCCAAAAACAGAGUGAGGACAAUAUCCUUCUCAUGACUAGUAAUCAUAGGGUGCUUAUGAUUCUAUAGGUAGUAUAUUGUUUUCAAGGCCAGUGAUUGCCUUUUCUUCCAUGAUUUUUUCUAAUAUGCUUUUGAAGCCUUCUAAGUUGGUGGUCAUCACUACAUCUUGUGGUACCAAAUCUUGUGGGUCAGUUACGCACACCAUGAAUCCUAGAUUCGUAGAAGCUAGUUGUGGUUACUCUGAGUAAGGAAAACAUACAUGUGUAUUUUUUUCAGGCACUCUAUAUUAUGACUUCAUGUGCUCUGGGAAUCUACAUUGAAAAUAGGUUCUUGGGCUAAAUCUUAGUGAAACCUGACUCAUAUUAUCCCUGGUUGGCCAGUAUAUUGUAAAUAUACUAUUGUGAUUGAUUUCUGGAGAAAUACUACUUCCUAGAGACUGUUUAUAUUGAGUUUGUAUAGUGUUUGAGGUGUGAGGGGGAUCUUUAGUAAGCUGAGUAAAUUUCUAAGUGUCUUGCCUUUGAGGUCGUAGCCCGAUAAAUGGCAGUACCUCCUCUCCUCUUUUGAAGCGUUUAUUCUUCUAUCCUUGCUAAGUGAUAGAAGGAUUAUGAGUGACAGUUUGAACUGUCAGUUUAAAUCAUAGGAAUUGAAAUAGUACUUGAAAGCAGCAGUGUCUAGAUCAUGGGAUAUUCAGAUGUGUAAUAGUUACACACAAAUUUGUGUUUCCACAUAUCUUUUGAUUUACUGAGAAACUUGAUCACUUAAAGGUUUAUUAUCCCUGUCUUUUUUUCUUAACAGCUCCCCCACCCCCUCCAUUUUUCAAUGUUUGUACAUUCCGGAUGGCCUACAAAAGAAUUCUGCUGCUAUAAGUAAUAGCAAAAACUGAAGAGAAAGUACAAGAGCCCCCGAGAGACAUCACUCUCAAAGCAGUAGUGUUGUUGGUCAGGUUCUCAGGAAGUAAGUGAAGAGGAUACAUUUUCCUACAAUGCUACUUCAAAAUCAGACAGGAUAUACAUUCCUUUAAUAGCUGAAACAUCCCUUACUAAUUUUCAUGAAUAAACACAGACAUAACACUGUACUAACAAUUCUGUAAUGCAGUGGGAACAGGCCAGCCCAUUAAAUAUUUUCCUUACGCCAAAUAGAUUAUUUUGCACAAUAUGUGAGGCAUGUGAGAAUGCUACACUUGUCUGCUUUUGGAUUUAUUUAUUUUUAGUCUGGGUUUGAAUCCAUAGCACAGUGAUUUUCUGGCUGUCAGUGGUCAUGUGAAUGCAGACAGAAGUGAGGAAUCUCUUCCUCAUGGUAGGUUACUACCGUUUGUAGCUUCAGUGAAUCAUCAGCUUGAGAAGUUGCUUGCCUGUUUCUCAUCCGGAUCUGUUGUGUUGAAUCGGAAACAAAGCCACAGUGGCUCCUAUGAAAGUCACUCUUAGAAGGUUGUAUCCAACCAAGUUGCUCCAUUAGUGCGAAGAUUUGUUCCUCUGACCCUCAAAAUCUGUCCUGGGGUUUCACCCAACCAUCACGAUUUCGAGGGGGCACAUGGGGAGAGGAGAGGGAGAGAAAGUCCCAUUUGCAAGUGGAAGUUCUUGCGCUAACAGAAUUACUUUGUUGGAUACAACCCAGGCGAUGCAAUGUCUGAAAGUUGUCGAAGGCUUCUGCCUAGACUUUUACUAAUUAAAGUUAUCCAGAGCUGAUGUAGAAAGAAACACAGAUGUAGGGGUACUGUUACUUUAGCCCCUGUAUAACAGAAUGACAGAGAAGGAUUUCGGUAACCAUGGAGGGCUUAAUUUCUCUGGGUUAGAAUAUUAUCAAGACAUGUGUUAACGUUGUGUAAAUAAGUGGAUGAUACUUAUAAUUGAUUAAUAAGAGUGUUUUAUUUUUAUUUUUGUCUGUUUAUUUUUCCUCUGUUGUAUGUCUUUUGUUUUUUUGUGGAAAUUUCAAUAAAAAGCAAAUUUAAAAAAAAGAAAGAAUAUUAUCACACAGCUUUCUUCAAAGAGCCACAGACUUUCUACCAAAAUCUGUAUAAUAGGAAGAAGCUAGACUUGGGGAAAGCUUCAUCUAGUUGCAGCUUCUAUGAUUCGCUUUUCAGAGUUCAUGUGUGAGAGACAUUCUCCUCCCGCAUGGAGACACUUGUACAAAUGGUAUUUUUCCACAAGUACUUACUGGCUUGGGGAGGGACACUGCUGGCAUCAAAUGGGGAUUGUAUAAUUUCCCCCAUAUUUACAGAUCAAAAGAUACAUAUAUUUUGAUCCAAGUAUAAAUAAUAAAGUGGAGAAGCUGGUUUUAUUUAUUUGAAUAACUUCUCUAUGAGGGUAAAUCCUCAUUUUUUUAAACAUCCACUUGUAGACAUGGAAAUUCUGUGAAGAAGGCUGAAAGGUGAAUUUGAAAAAUAUUUAUACUUUUAACCGUACCUAAUAUUGAUUGAUUUUUAAUGUAUUCUUAUGCUUCUAACAUUUACUUGCACAUUUUUUGGAACACCAGUUAAAUAUGUAACCAUGGAGCUCAGUGAACGGCAGUUGUUUGAUUCAUUUUUCAGUAAUAUGCUUCCCUAGCGAUAAAGGAAGUAUUAGAGUGAAUUUAAAACUUGCCAUAAUUUUAUAGACUGUUAUUUCUGCUUUUUGUUUUUGUUUAUUUUUACACUUCUGUCCUGCUUUUAAAACUUGUAAAGUUUUACUUACAAAAAGAUUAAUGAUUGUUGGCUUAAAAAAAAAAAAAAAGGAAGCACAUGGUAGCCACAAUUUUUUGGUUCAGAUGAAACAAGAAAACCCAGUUUAUCAAAAGCAGAAGGAAAAGUUUCUGAAAUCUUCCUUCCAGCCUCAAAUGUGUGUUGGUUUAAAAUGAGUGGGAAGUGUCAUUUGAAAGUUUUAAAAACACAGACACAAUAGAAGUCUUUCUUAGGACUGCUAAUGAUCACAGAGCUUGGCCUCUGUUUGGUUUCAGUAUACUCCUGUGUUUUUGCACCUGUCCGCCAAAAUGCUGUUCCAAACAUAAUUGAGGAUAUUGUUCUUGGGGGAGGGGGAUUACAAAGGAUCUGCUCACGGCCUUGUCCUUUCAGAUAAGUAAAUGCAGCUCCUCUCCAAACUCUUGUCAUUACCAAAUACCAAAAGGAGCGAAAUGUCAGUUUAUUAUAACACUUAUUUUCUUAACACCUAAUCAGAAGAUACAGAGUUUCACAUAAUAUUAUGGUAGCACUAAUACUGUUUGUAAUAUCACAGUUUCAGGUCCUUUGGAGUCUCUGUUGUUAGCAUCUCUAUUCCCUAGAAGUCUAAUUCCAACAUGGACAUGUAGAAAAAGGAUAGAACAUCACAUUAAAAACAUAGCCUAGGGUUGACCUGAAGGCUGAGAUUAUGCAACUAUACCACAAACUAGGUGGUAGAGUUUGAGCCAGAGGCAGAUUCAAGUAGUAUAUAUAUGUGUGUGUGAAAAUCAGUGGGGGUUUUGUGUCUGCUGUUUUCUGCUCAAAACAAGCAACAAACAUGAGCAAUAUUGAGUGAAACAUUAAAGAUUCUUUAAAGUCAGUGGAUAGCAAGAGAGUGUACUCUAAAAAUAUACCUUAAGGUCUGGAAAAGUUUAUGUGAAAGAUUGUAAAUCUGGGAUACAAACCUGAUGCAAACUCAGGGACAGGUGUGCACUGCCCCCAUAUUAGCUUUUUCAGACAUCCCAUUCAGCAAAACUAUGACACAUCUCUGAUGGUGCCAGUAGCUCUGUUUUUUGGCUCGUGUUUUGGCCUGGACUAAGUUUUUUAGACGCAAGUCCCUUGCCUUUUCAGUGUGGGGACAACAUGGUAAAUUCUAUCAUGGACCAUUAAAAAUAAAUAACCAUGGUUGGCUUUAACUACAUAGCGAUCAAAUAUCUUUAUUGCAAUCCAUAGACCCACAAAACAGUUUCAAAACAAGAUACAGUUAAAACAACCAAACAGGUGAAAGAGACCGAGGUAGUCAUUUUGUUAUGUCUAGAGCGUGAUGGUCUUUGUUUCUUGCAACCUCCGAAAGAAACUUUCCCAUGGUCAGUGUAAUAUCAUUUGACCUAUCCUCCAGAAGGUAUUUAAUAUGGGAGGCUUCAGUGAAUUGGGAUCUAGCAGUAUCUGCCUUUCCAUCAUCAUUUGCCUUCCCUGUGUUCAAGCCUUCCUGAUACCCUUUGUUGGCCAACUAUGCAAAUAGUUUCCCAAGCUCCAUUCAUGUAUUUCCUUGGGUUGGUAGGUAAGAGCUGAAGUUCUAAGACCUUUGUGUUGUGGUCAAAUCUUCACCUACAUUGAGUUGACUCAGUUCAGCUUAGUAAUUCAUACUGAUUAAUUAGCUGUUGUAUUACAAUUUGUGUUUGUUUUAAUAUUCCAAUUUGUUGUAGCUGUUAUCUACCUAAAUACUUCAGUUAAAAAUAAUUUUUAAAAUCAGGCCAUAUGUUGAAUCUGACACAUAGUCCCAGUCCAUGCAAUUAUGACCCUUUAAUUUUGAGGACUAAUUGUGUAGAUUGGGCUAGUGCACAUUGGGCUGGUAUGUGUGGACAAUUAUGGCAUGUUGCAGAGUGGAUGUAAUCCUCAUCCAUCACCCAUCUACAUGGGGCUGCAUUGCUUGAUGCCACAUCUGAAAUAGUAAAAAUAAUACAAUUAAAACACAGUGUGCUUUCUUUUCUAAUAUGUGGUAGGUAUAUUUGUAAUAUAUGUAAGUGCUGGCAGAUGCAUUACUUUAUUCCAUAUUGCAUUUUCAGAGAAAGUGCAGUUUUAUUGAACAAGAGGAUUGAAUUCUUAACUGACUAAUCAAUUUUCGUAGCCUAGUAUUAAUGGACAGCUGUAUCCAUUAAUCAGGGCUUUAGUAGAUUAACAGUUGUCAGCAUUUAUGCUAAUAGUACUUACAUACCAUACUUGUGAAAUGCAGUUAUGUUUCCAUAUUUUUAUAAAACAUUUGAUAAAAUUCUCUUGCUUUGUACCUUCAGAUUGUUCCGUUCACGCUUGUAUAUGUCUCUUAGAAGUGGAAAAGGGUAAUUCCCAUUCUGACAUGAUGCAUCAUCAUUUGAGACUUCUUCCUCAUCUUCCACCUACUAAUCUUUGUGUCAAAAUAAAAGGAAAUAAUUUGUUCUAAGAUUUUGAUUGCUUUGCAUUAGCCUUGCAAUAUGAGUAAAAUAAGGCAUAUAUUAUAUUAAACUUAUUUCAGCAGUCUUUGGUGUGUAGAAGUUGGAAGAAAAAGCAUUUUAAAGGAUUCCGGAUUGAGACCUUACAUCCUUGUUAGAUCAGGCCAAGGCUCCAUCUCCUCAGUUUCUGUAGUGACCAGACAGCUGCUUCUCAGAACUCGGAGAGCAUGAAGGCAAAAGCUCUCUGAUGUUUCUUCCCCUACACAGGGGUACCUCAGGUUACAGAUGCUUCAGGUUACAGACGCUUCAAGUUACAGACUAUGCUAACCCAGAAAUAGUACCUCGGGUUAAGAACUUCGCUUCAGGAUGAGAACAGAAAUUGUGCAGCGGCAGCGGGAGGCCCCAUUAGCUAAAGUGGUAUCUCAGGUUAAGAACAGUUUCAGGUUAAGAAUGGACCUCCAGAACUGGUUAAGUUCUUAAGCAGAGUAAUUAGGGGAAGUGUCAAGUAUCUGCUUUGCAUGCAGAAGGUCCCACAUUCAAUCUCCAGAAUCUCCAGUUAGUGCUGGAAAUGUUCUGUGCUCAAACCUGGUGAGCCACUGUCAAUGUAGACAGUACAGAGCAAUAUGUUGUUCAAGUUGUUCCUAGUUGUUAGAAGUUUAGCCUCUGAACACAUCUACUUGUCAUAUCUUCAGACUGUUGGUAACCUCUGUGGUUUUUAAAUUUGCACACAUUUCUAUCAUGCAUGGCAGGGCUUGAAACCCCAAACCCUUGCACCCAAAGUGAGAAUUAAACCCAUGGACCAACAAAAGGCUGGAGGUCAGCAAAAAGACUGCCAUUGUGUCUUUUGGGUGGCACGAACCACCCACAUUUCAAGUAACAGCUGAAUGUGUUGUCCAGUGGUGUAUGAGUUUGAAAAAUCACAAUGCAGCUGUGUGUCUUUAGUUUGAUUUGGGUUUGAGAUUGUGUGUGUGUGUAAAGACCGCCUGCCUGCUUGUGUCUCCAGCUUAAGAAAAAGGAAAUGGGCCCCUAGAAAAAGUCUGAGUUUUGUUUGGUUUAUUUUAGUUGAAUCAUUUGAGGACCUAGUAUGCACACUUCAGUUAGUUGAUUGCUAUAGAUUGUCCAGUGGCUCUGGAGAGCUCAUCAAGAUGUCUAAUAGCUAUAUCUUAUUGAUUGUCCUUCAAUUAAUCACAUCUGAUGCUUUCAUUUAUCAAAAACCAAAUACAUGUAAUUAACUUUGAAGUGAGAGAGCUCAUUUCAAAGUGGUAUUUGCUACUGUCACUGAAAUAUCUCAGGGUAGAUUAUACUAAUGGGGAGCACAAGUCAAAAUUAAGCUAAUGGUGUCCUGUCUGUCAAGGAAUAAUCAUUUUAAAACAGAGUUGGAGUACUGCUAUUCUCUGCAGGUC
RNAcentral lists this long non-coding RNA (10375 nucleotides) under Podarcis lilfordi (Lilford's wall lizard). Lineage: Eukaryota; Metazoa; Chordata; Lepidosauria; Squamata; Lacertidae. The record is from RNAcentral.